CCAGACUCCUACGGGAGGCAGCAGUGGGGAAUAUUGGGCAAUGGGCGCAAGCCUGACCCAGCAACGCCGCGUGAAGGAAGAAGGCUUUCGGGUUGUAAACUUCUUUUCUCAGGGACGAAGAAAGUGACGGUACCUGAGGAAUAAGCCACGGCUAACUACGUGCCAGCAGCCGCGGUAAUACGUAGGUGGCAAGCGUUAUCCGGAUUUACUGGGUGUAAAGGGCGUGUAGGCGGGGAAGCAAGUCAGAUGUGAAAACCACGGGCUCAACCUGUGGCCUGCAUUUGAAACUGUUUUUCUUGAGUACUGGAGAGGCAGACGGAAUUCCUAGUGUAGCGGUGAAAUGCGUAGAUAUACGGAGGAACACCAGUGACGAAGGCGGCCUGCUGGACAAUAACUGACGCUGAGGCGCGAAAGCGUGGGGAGCAAACAGGAUUAGAUACCCGAGUA
RNAcentral lists this ribosomal RNA (447 nucleotides) under uncultured bacterium. RNAcentral's name for it is "bacterial SSU rRNA". It matches the Rfam family "Bacterial small subunit ribosomal RNA", at positions 331 to 792 of the family's 1533-position model. The record is from RNAcentral.